AUUCAGCAAAUCCUUGCUGAGUACCCAUGGUGUGCCAGGCCCCGUGCCAGAAAUGAGGGAAUGGUAGAUGAAUGAGGUGUGGCCCUGCCCAGGGAAGUCUCUCGGUCUCAUGAACUGUUGGCAGGCUUCCUUUGUGAGAGCAGUGGAGACUGAUGCAGACAGAAGUUUGGAGUUGGGGGAAGGGAGUAACUUGCUCUGGCAGUUCUCCACCCUAAGUUACAUGGCAGGUGUGAUUCUGGGAGCCCUCACACACAUUGCCAAGGCCAGAGGAGGAGAGCACUAGGGAGGCAGGCAGUGCUUUCCUAGAUGUUCCUAAUUCUUCCCCAGCCUGACCCAGGUCACUUAUGGAUGAAAGCAAGUCACCCUGCCCACAAGGUGGAUAUCACGUGGCUGAUGAUUGAGAAUCCGUGAAACUACAAAGGAAGUUCUUUCGUAUGAAUGGCAGGCAGGCAGACCUGGAAAGUAAGCCAGAUACAGGGGCUGGUAUGUGCCAAGUUCAAAGACAUGAAAAGCAUGACAUGAGGGAAGACCUCUGAGGCCUGAAGUCAGAGCUGAGGAGGGAAGAAGGGCUUGACUUUGCUAAGGGCCACAGGACACUGUAGAGCAGAGAUUCCCAAGGAGCGCCCUGGACCAGAGCAUCAGCUAGGGAUGAGUGAGAAAUGCAAAUGCACAAGAUCCACCCAAGAGCUACUGCAUCAGAAACCACGGGUGGCACCCAGUGGUGUAUGUUUCAAGGCUCUCAAAUCCUGAUGCACUCUAAGGUUUGAAAACCACAGAUGUGGAGUAUGAGAAUAAUUUUCACUGGCACUGGGAGGAGAUGAUUAAUAGGAUAAGAGAGUCAAUUACUAGUGAGAAGAGAAGGAGUCAAAGCAGACCAUUCUAUGAACCCUGUAGGGCCCUCUAGACUCUAGUCCAUACUCCCUGAAGCAGUGAUAUUUUUUAAAAAUAUUUUAUUUAUUCGUGAGACAGAGAGAGAGAGGCAGAGACAUAGGCAGAGAGAAAAGCAGGCUCCAUGCAGGGAGCCUAAUGUGGGACCUGAUCCUGGGACUCUAGGAUCAUGCCCUGGGCUGAAGGCAGACAGUCAACUGCUGAGCCACCCAGGCAUCCCUGAAGCAGUGAUUUUAAGGAACCUUGGGCCACGUCCCAACUCCACUCCUCUCCUAGGGCAUGAUCCAUCUCCUGCUGGUCUGGCCCCUUUAAUCCUAGAGAGACACAUAGUCUAGGGGAGGCUGUAGUGAGGCCACCCAUCCCUAAGGAGACUGCCUUCCAGAUUCCCAUAUAUAAGCAGCCUCCUGAAGGGCCAUGUAUUAGAGGAAAUGAUUAAACUGUAGCAGUGUCCUUACAUCACCAGGAGAACUGGUCCCCACAGAGCAUCUAUGCUGUGGAGCCACCAGGGCCUACAGAGAGUGGCGUGGGGUCAUCCAAGGACACUGCCAGCUUUACUGUGGUGCUGCGCCUUCUGUAAUAUGACUGGGUCAUGCAGCGUCACAAUCCAAACACAAAAUUGGAUGGAGAAUGAAUGGCUUUUCUUGGAAGGGCAGUAACUCAUUCGGGAUGUUACUAAAAGUAGAAAACAAAACCUAAAACAAACCUGCAGCAUUCUCUACAGGUGGAAUCUGUGUUGGUCUUCAAAUCUCUAAGACCUGCAAAGGUACCAGUCUCCACCAAUUCCCUUUUCCCCUACCUCCCAGAAGCCAAAGAUCUGCCAAUUAUUGAUUUAGGUUUUUGAUUCAUGGCUUAAACUCUGCAAAGAUCUAGAACCUUUCGGGAGAAACAAGUUGACAUUCUAUCAGUCACACCUACCUGUGGUGCAGAAUCUGUCCUCAUGUAAGGGUUUCUGAGACUAGGAGUCAGAGAACUGGAACACUGGGCCUUGGAGUGGGAGGAGAGAGGAGGAGUGGGAGGGAGGGGAACCCAGACACAUGGCCUUGGAAAGCUGGCACCUGCUGUAUAGUUUCUAAGAACCCAGUUCCCUCUUGAUCAAAGGCACAUUCCUGGUCCUGUCAGCCCUGUCCUAGCUGAGUCCUCCCCCAAAUGCCCUCAAGGAUACCUCCAUGUCUCCAGCCUAGUUUAUGGAAGGGUCUUCUGAUUAAAUGGUCAAUCAAUCCCCUGAGACCACAGUGACCAUAUCAAGAACAACCAUCUCUAACACAUUAGAUUGUGCUAAAAAGAACCAACGGUUUGCCAGUUGUUUGUGAGAAGCAAAGGAGAGAGCAGACCCAAGAGGUGAAAGGAAAGUUUCUUCCUGUUCACAUCACUUAGGUCCAGAAGAAUUUUCUUCUCCAGCCUGGUCUCUGAUGCGACAUCUCUCUCCCAAGACCUUAAGACAAUUUUGUUUCCCUGAAGUUAAGUCACUUAUUACAAAGUCCCCUAUGGGACAAAAAGACAAGGGAUGGGAUGGCAGGACGUGGGUGGAGAGGCCUUAGGUAGUUCUGGGAGCAGGAUGGGCUCUGUUCUCAUUGAGAAGCUUAUAUCUGUAUCCAGUCAGACAGAAGGGUCAGGAGCUCCAAUCUAGCCAGAACACCAGGUGGAAAGAAAGAAUAUGAGGGAUAUUUAUUGGGAAGAAUGGGCACAGAGGAGACCCCCAAGAUAUGUCACUGUGCAAGCCAUACUAGUCAUUUACAUUUGUCAGAAACAGGGGAGGACUGCGUCCCAAUAUCAGCUAGUCCCUCCCAUUUUAAGCCCCAAAGAGGUGCUGCUACGUCUGGACCACUGAGAUGAUCCAUUUCAAGUCAGAGUCCCAUUCCAUGAGGACUGUCAGUUGCACCCACUGGGGACCCUGACCAGGCACCAGAAAACAUGGCUGUGUGAGGCUGUAUGGCCCCUCAGCUCUUGCCGCCUCUGCUGUCACAGGCCCUCAUCAAGGCAAGAAGUGUCACUCACUUAUCACAGCACAUAGCCCAUAGCAUGGGCUUGAUAAAUGGUGAAUUAAACAGAAUACCAGAGAUCACCUAACCUCAGCAAAUGCACAGGAUGUGAAAAAUUAAGAUGCUUCCAUAGAAAAAGACUCCUCCAUCUUUUCUCUUAGUAUAUAGGUCAGAAUCCUUCAUAAAAUCAGAGCAAGGAGAAGUAGGAGUAUAUCUAGGGGCAGGAAAAGAACAAGAAUGGAGUUCUUUGGAGAGUGGCCCCUUGCUAGCUCACUAAAAGGUGCCCCUAAGCCCAGAGCAGCUGGAGGGGCACUGGUAAGCCCACCUGCUCCAUCCUCAGGUCCUGAGUCACGAUGCUGCCCAGGAAGGAGGACGUCCUAAUCUGUUAAUCGCCCUAGUCUUGUGCUACUCUGCAGCUCCUUUCAGCAGAUUUGAUGCAGAGAUCCAUCAAGAUGAAGCUCAACCCCCAACAGCCGAAGGAAAAGAGGGCAAUAGAGGUGAGAAGAGCCAAAAUGCAGGCAGUGUGUAUUAAUCCCAGGUGACAAAAACAUGCCGACUUUAACAUCUGUUUGCUUUUAUCUUGAAAUGAAAAUGCAUCUCAGCUAUCCAGACCUUUUUUUCUGAGCAUUUCAGAACAUAAAUGGGACAUACACACACACACACACACACACACACACACACACACACACUCAUGGUAAGGGUUCUUUUCCCCAGCAGAAAGAGCUACCAAAGAAAAGAGCCCAUAGGUUUUCUCUAUUUGCAGAAUCAGGGAAUCAACUGCAGGUCUCAGCUACUAGAGUCCAGCCUCUUUGAAAAAGGGAGGGGAAGGGCCAGGAGACAGCUGCCUUAGGAAGGGUUCACUGGGGCCUCUGUGAGAAAGGGUUCUGGUUGGGCCUGUGGGUCACAGAUAGGAAUGUAAUGUGCACACCCCUGCAGACAAAAGUCCAUCCAUCCUGCGCAAUGUGGAAUAUACCCCUUAGCUCCUCCCUUGUCUGCAAAGGAGCCAUCAAUGUGCAGGAUUCAGAAGAUGGCAUGCACAUCUUUGCUUGUAAACUUCAAGUGGUGGAAAUAAGGCAAAAGCCUUUUGGAGAUUAGGAAGUUAGACUUGAUAUCCAGGGCUGAUCACUCAAAAGGCAAAAAAAGAGAUUGACGGGAAAGCUGACUCAGAGUUAGAGAGGGAACAGGUGAGGCUAGAGAAGAGUGACGGAACAGGAACACCCUCACCUGGGAAGCCAGAGCAUUGCUCUAUACUGAAAGCUGUAUCCAAGUUUCAGCAAACUAUGGGGAAGCCUGGCCAUGUGACCCUGAGGCAAUCAAAUCAAUGCCUCCAAAGUCAGACCUAUUCGAAGGUGAUUUCAUUCUUAAUUGAACUAGUCACAAUGGAUCAAUCCACCUGAUUGCUUCCAGCCUGACCUCGGUGGCUUCCAAAAAAAAGUUGUUGAUGCCCUGAGCUGGACAGCAGAGAAGGAAAUUGAAGAAAACCAGCCAGUGAAUUUAGAAAAGAAACUGCAUGUAGAAGUUGGUUGUUUUCAAAGAUAUCCAUAGGUAUUAGAGUUAGGUGUGUUAUGUUAUCGGCAUGGACAUUAUAAUGUCAGAAAGGUAAGAUUCAGAAUGACUUGGUGGGACAUUCACUUGGAAAAUUAGUUAAUGUGUUAAAUAUAAGCUAUCAGGGAAAAGUAGGCUAAGGGCAGCAAUUAUGUGCGUCAUAUGCAUAAAAUACAGAAAUAAGUAAGAUAUAAAGAUGUCAAUGGUCCCAACACAUUUUCAGUUCCUUAGAAGCACAGGUUUGGGUGUUACACUUUUUCUUACUGUUCUCAUUUACUUUUAGCUCUCAGAGCACUGGGAACAGUGCCUGGCACAUAGUAGGAGUUUAGUAAGCAUUGGAAAAUGGAAGGUCCAACUUGUCGCUACAUGGGACUCAGUACUCACUAUACACCCAAUUAAGUGAGCCACAGGGAAGCAAGUCAGCCACAUCCCCCUCCUAGAUCAUUACACCUCGGCUGAGGAGAAGCUUGCAUGAAUUCAAAGAUUCAGAACAAUGUCCAGCUGGCUGCAGGCACUGGGUCUGGCUCUUGCCGGGAUGCUGUACAGAGUGGGCCUAUAUCACUUAGGACGCUGCACAUAGUGGGUCUGUAUCACUUAGACCUCAUCUGCAUAACACCUAACAAGCUAUUUCUACAGGGAACAGGACUGAGGGCUCCCCUCCUAUUGCUUCUGCCAUUUCCUAAACACUUGUGCAAUGCUGUGGAGUUGUGCCAACUUCGGGUACAAUUCUAGAACUAAAUAUAAUGAUUCUGGGCUCAGCCAGUCUCAGAGGUCUAAUGAUUCUUCUCUCAGCUCUUCCCAUCACCCAUAUCUGGAGAUGCCACCUCAACAGGUGGGCCCGUGUAUGUAUACCUGAUACAUGUCCACCUCUGAGCUCUUUCAGCUGCCUCAAAAAACUGACUCCUUUUAGUCUAGAAAAUGUGUUUAUUUGCUAAAUAUACUAGUGUGUAUGAUGUGAAACAAUGCAAACUUUGGACUAUCUUGUUAGACUGUAUGCAUUUAUAGAAUUUAAUUUCAGGAGAGCACUUUAUCAUCUUGCUCAAUGAAUGAGGUUGCCCAAUCACAGAUGACCAGAGAAAAUGCCCCUUCUCCUCCCUACACCUAUGAGCCCCUCCCCUGAUCUAGUCCCUGCCUAAUUGAGCUGUCCUGUCCACUUCAGGCUGAUGCAGAGUGAAGGGCGCUGAGAAUCUCCAUGUAUAUAAAGAUAUAGGAAGAAAAUAAGAACCACCACAGGAAUCUGUUGGGCUUCUUCCCAUGACUGUGAUUUUAUCCAUAUUUGAGUCACAAACUUUACAUUUCUAACAAUUAAGAUUCUUGCAGUUUCCAAGUAAUUUGUUAAAUGCCUAUUCGACACAGACAGAUAUUUAUUUUCAGCCUUGACUUGUAAAUGCCUACAAACUGAUUCAUGCUGGUGGUCGUUACGACACUUUCUGUGAAUUGGUGAAUAAAUAUGAUUUUAGAAUUUCACA
Molecule: long non-coding RNA, 5881 nt
Filed under: Canis lupus familiaris (dog)
Lineage: Eukaryota; Metazoa; Chordata; Mammalia; Carnivora; Canidae
Description: lncRNA (ENSCAFG00000055793.1)
Source: RNAcentral